GAUGAACGCUGGCGGCGUGCCUAAUACAUGCAAGUCGAGCGAACGGACGAGAAGCUUGCUUCUCCGAUGUUAGCGGCGGACGGGUGAGUAACACGUGGAUAACCUACCUAUAAGACUGGGAUAACUUCGGGAAACCGGAGCUAAUACCGGAUAAUAUUUUGAACCGCAUGGUUCAAAAGUGAAAGACGGUCUUGCUGUCACUUAUAGAUGGAUCCGCGCUGCAUUAGCUAGUUGGUAAGGUAACGGCUUACCAAGGCAACGAUGCAUAGCCGACCUGAGAGGGUGAUCGGCCACACUGGAACUGAGACACGGUCCAGACUCCUACGGGAGGCAGCAGUAGGGAAUCUUCCGCAAUGGGCGAAAGCCUGACGGAGCAACGCCGCGUGAGUGAUGAAGGUCUUCGGAUCGUAAAACUCUGUUAUUAGGGAAGAACAUAUGUGUAAGUAACUGUGCACAUCCUGACGGUACCUAAUCAGAAAGCCACGGCUAACUACGUG
RNAcentral lists this ribosomal RNA (497 nucleotides) under uncultured bacterium. RNAcentral's name for it is "partial 16S ribosomal RNA". It matches the Rfam family "Bacterial small subunit ribosomal RNA", at positions 28 to 507 of the family's 1533-position model. The record is from RNAcentral.